RNAcentral lists this ribosomal RNA (466 nucleotides) under uncultured bacterium. RNAcentral describes it as "partial 16S ribosomal RNA". It matches the Rfam family "Bacterial small subunit ribosomal RNA", at positions 28 to 507 of the family's 1533-position model. The record is from RNAcentral.
GAUGAACGCUGGCGGCGUGCUUAACACAUGCAAGUCGAACGAUGAAGCCCAGCUUGCUGGGUGGAUUAGUGGCGAACGGGUGAGUAACACGUGAGUAACCUGCCCUUAACUCUGGGAUAAGCCUGGGAAACUGGGUCUAAUACCGGAUAGGAGCGCCUACCGCAUGGUAGGUGUUGGAAAGAUUUAUCGGUUUUGGAUGGACUCGCGGCCUAUCAGCUUGUUGGUGAGGUAAUGGCUCACCAAGGCGACGACGGGUAGCCGGCCUGAGAGGGUGACCGGCCACACUGGGACUGAGACACGGCCCAGACUCCUACGGGAGGCAGCAGUGGGGAAUAUUGCACAAUGGGCGAAAGCCUGAUGCAGCGACGCCGCGUGAGGGAUGACGGCCUUCGGGUUGUAAACCUCUUUCAGUAGGGAAGAAGCGAAAGUGACGGUACCUGCAGAAGAAGCACCGGCUAACUACGUG